This 28-nucleotide non-coding RNA is filed under the name Rattus norvegicus (Norway rat). The record is from RNAcentral. Lineage: Eukaryota; Metazoa; Chordata; Mammalia; Rodentia; Muridae.
UGCUUUGAACUUUGCCUAAGGUAGGUUU